UGCGGAAGGAUCAUUAUUGAAUAAACCUGAUGUGGCUGUUAGCUGGCUUUUUUGAAGCAUGUGCUCGUCCGUCAUCUUUAUCUCUCCACCUGUGCACAUUUUGUAGUCUUGGAUACCUAUCGAGGCAACUCGGAUUUUAGGAUCGCCAAAUUGGCUUUCCUUUCAUUUCCAAGACUAUGUUCUUAUUUACACCCAAAGUAUGUUCAAAGAAUGUUAUCAAAAGGAACUUGGUUCCUAUGAAAUUAUACAACUUUCAGCAACGGAUCUCUUGGCUCUCGCAUCGAUGAAGAACGCAGCGAAAUGCGAUAAGUAAUGUGAAUUGCAGAAUUCAGUGAAUCAUCGAAUCUUUGAACGCACCUUGCGCUCCUUGGUAUUCCGAGGAGCAUGCCUGUUUGAGUGUCAUUAAAUUUCUCAACCUUCCAGCUUUUAUUAGCCUGGUUAGGCUUGGAUGUGGGGGUUGCAGGCUUCAUUUAAUUGAGGUCAGCUCUCCUUAAAUGCAUUAGCAGAACUUUUGUUGACCGUCUAUUGGUGUGAUAAUUAUUUACGCCGUGGAUGUGAAGCAUUUUUAUAAAGUUCAGCUUCUAAUCGUCCAUUGACUUGGACAAUUUUGACAAUUUGACCUCAAAUCAGGUAGGACUACCCGCUGAACUUAAGCAUAUCAAUAAGCGGAGGAAAAGAAACUAACAAGGAUUCCCCUAGUAACUGCGAGUGAAGCGGGAAAAGCUCAAAUUUAAAAUCUGGCAGUCUUUGGCUGUC
RNAcentral lists this ribosomal RNA (756 nucleotides) under uncultured fungus. Its description in RNAcentral is "eukaryotic LSU rRNA". The stretch from base 249 to 402 matches the Rfam family "5.8S ribosomal RNA". The record is from RNAcentral. Lineage: Eukaryota; Fungi.